This is a non-coding RNA of Rattus norvegicus (Norway rat), 521 nucleotides long. The record is from RefSeq and is a predicted model, not a curated record. NCBI's taxonomy places the organism in Eukaryota, Metazoa, Chordata, Mammalia, Rodentia, Muridae.
CUGGGGUUACUGGGGCAUGUAACGGAGCGGUGCGAAUGCCUGCUACCGCCCCGCGAGCGCCCCCUAACGGUGCCUUCUCGGAGGGGGGGGUCGGUCCUGCAUUUCCAAGCCUUUCCCGAGGGGACUGGGGGAGCCCAGGGGCCCAAGAACACUAUUUGACCCUUUAAUGCAGACCAGUGCCACAGUGGGCCUGCAUCCUUAACCGACAACGAGAGUUUCUUGGACUUGAGUCUCCAAACUUUACAAGAAGUUACCUGCAGGCUGGAGAGCUGGCUCAGCAGUUAGGAGCACCGGCUGUGUUUUCCAGAGGACUCCAGUUUGAUUUUCAGCACCCACGAGGCAACUACAGUUCUAGGGGGAAUCUCAUGCCCUCUUCUGACCUCUGAGGGUACCAGGCACACAAGUAGUAUACGUCAUACAUUCAGAAUAAACACCCAUAUACAUAAAAUAUACUUUUUAAAAAGUUACCUGAGAUCUACUGUAAAAAUAUAUAGAUAAAAUAAAAAAUUGUACUACUCAUA